CGCUACGGACUUAAAAAAUCCGUCGACUUUUAAAAUCGUGAGGGUUCAAGUCCCUCUAUCCCCA
RNAcentral lists this transfer RNA (64 nucleotides) under Faramea multiflora. Its description in RNAcentral is "partial tRNA-Leu". The record is from RNAcentral. Lineage: Eukaryota; Viridiplantae; Streptophyta; Magnoliopsida; Gentianales; Rubiaceae. RNAcentral also lists the same sequence under 9 other names.